Molecule: ribosomal RNA, 301 nt
Filed under: uncultured bacterium
Lineage: Bacteria
Description: partial 16S ribosomal RNA
Rfam family: Bacterial small subunit ribosomal RNA
Source: RNAcentral
CAGUAGCCGCGGUAAUACGUAGGUGGCAAGCGUUGUCCGGAAUUAUUGGGCGUAAAGGGCUCGCAGGCGGUUUCUUAAGUCUGAUGUGAAAGCCCCCGGCUCAACCGGGGAGGGUCAUUGGAAACUGGGAAACUUGAGUGCAGAAGAGGAGAGUGGAAUUCCACGUGUAGCGGUGAAAUGCGUAGAGAUGUGGAGGAACACCAGUGGCGAAGGCGACUCUCUGGUCUGUAACUGACGCUGAGGAGCGAAAGCGCGGGGAGCGAACAGGAUUAGAUACCCCGGUAGUCCCUGUCUCUUAUAC